Molecule: RNA transcript, 1971 nt
Organism: Phoenix dactylifera (date palm)
Lineage: Eukaryota; Viridiplantae; Streptophyta; Magnoliopsida; Arecales; Arecaceae
Gene: BBX9
Gene name: B-box type zinc finger protein with CCT domain-containing protein
Source: RefSeq, a predicted model, not a curated record
AGAUAUUCGUUUGCUCCCGCUCUCUGGAACAGAUCGCCAGCGCGCGGGUUCCUCGGGAGCGCGUGAAAAGGGCGCCCAACAUAAUUAUCCGGGCGAAUUCGUCCACGCGCCCGCUCUCCCCGCAGUCGCCCGCGAUGCCGCCACCCAGCGCUGGCGCCCAAAGACCGCAACCCCACCCCCGCCUUCCAUCUCCUUCCCCAAAGUACAAUGGCUCCCUCCCUGCUCUCCCCCUCCUCCACCAACCCCGCAUGAGCCCUCCCAUACUCUCCCCUGGAAAACCUCGCACGUCACCCUCGCUCCCAUGUUCUCGGGCGCCCGGCAUUCCGUCGAACGGCUGUUAGUCCCCCACCAUGGAGCCGCUGUGCGAGUUCUGUGGGGCCCAGCGGGCCCUCGUCUAUUGUAAGUCCGACGCCGCCCGCCUCUGCCUUCCCUGCGACGGCUUCGUCCACUCCGCUAACGCCCUCUCCCGCCGCCACCUCCGCGCCCUCAUCUGCGACCGCUGCGUCUCCCAGCCCGCUGUCGUCCGCUGCCUCGACGACCGCCUAUCCCUCUGCCAGGACUGCGACUGGGGUGGCCCCGACUGCCCGGGCCCCGGCCACCGCCACUGGCGCCACCCCGUGAACUGCUACUCCGGAUGCCCCUCUCUGCCCGAGCUCUCCCGGAUGUGGUCCUCCGUGCUGGACCUCCCGCCGCCAAAGGCUCAGGCCGGCGGGCCCGGGAUGGUCGCCAUCGACGAGAACAGCGCGAGCACCUGCUGGGAGCCCGGGGAGGACGCGAGCUCGGUUGGGUUGUCUAUGGCCGGGACGUUGGGUGGUCUGAAGCCCUGCGCUAAGUUCGACCCCUGGAUGGCUUCUUCUAUGGUGCCGGAGAUCGGCUCCAUGAUGCCGUGCGGCGGGGAGCAACAGGGCCUCUUUCAUAAGGAAUCCAACGUUCCCAAGCUUGGUUGUCCUCCUUUCAGAGAUCUUGGGAUAUGUGAUGAGGAUGAGCUUUGUGAAGGCUUUGGAACUGGGGAUGGUGGCUUCACCAAUGACAAUAAUGAGAUGUUUGGCUGUCCGCAGAAUCUUCCUAGAUACCCAUUUCAAGAGGCAGGAUCAAAUGGAUUUUUAACAGAGAAGAACUCUUCAGUUGCAGAUUCAAAUGGUCACAUUGACCUUGCUGUAAAGGUAUCUUCCUCAGUACAACAUGACUGCAUGACACUUCAGUCUUCGCAGAUAGUUGGGCCAGCUGGUGCUCUGCAGGCACUGAACAGCAAUCCAGAUCAACUAUUAUUGAAUCUUCAUGGCAACAUAAAUGACAGUCUAUAUUUCCCUUCUGGAAAUGUCUGUCCAAAUAUAUCUCUUUCACUGUCGAACCUAACUGGUGAAAGUAGCGCUGCUGAUUACCAAGACUGUGGAGUGUCACCAAUGUUUCUCACAGGUGAAUCACCAUGGAAUUCAAAUCUUGAAACUGGUCGUCCACACGCAAGGAAUGAAGCAAAAAUGAGAUAUAAUGAGAAAAAGAAAAGCCGACUGUUUGGGAAACAAAUUAGGUAUGCUUCACGCAAGGUCCGAGCAGAUACUAGAAAGCGUGUGAAAGGUAGGUUUGUAAAGGCUGGUGAGGCUUGUGACUACGACCCUGUUUUGGCAAGAAGCAAUUGAACUAAUUUCAAAGUUCUAUUUCCCUUUGCAAAGCAACAGGUACUUGGCUCAGAAGCUGUAGAGAUGAGAAUCGAGCAGUAUUCAGAUGACCAGACUUCUGCAUGAGAUUCUUUCGGCAGUUGCUUGCAGAAAGGAUAACUUUAAUUUUCGAGUUGCUUUCUUACUUUCUUUUGUUCUUCAGCAUUUGUUGAACUCGUACGGAGUUCCUUCUCUUGGCUGAGGAGAAACGCAGCCAAUUUUAAUAAGUCUGUCUGUGAGUAAUGGAAAACCUGUGCUUAAUAAAUGCUUCUAUUCUUCGAAUGAUUUUAAUAAAGUGCAUAUGAGUUCUUUAACA